RNAcentral lists this transfer RNA (75 nucleotides) under Patescibacteria group bacterium. RNAcentral describes it as "tRNA-His". It matches the Rfam family "tRNA". Rfam says of the family: Transfer RNA (tRNA) molecules are approximately 80 nucleotides in length. Their secondary structure includes four short double-helical elements and three loops (D, anti-codon, and T loops). Further hydrogen bonds mediate the characteristic L-shaped molecular structure. tRNAs have two regions of fundamental functional importance: the anti-codon, which is responsible for specific mRNA codon recognition, and the 3' end, to which the tRNAs corresponding amino acid is attached (by aminoacyl-tRNA synthetases). tRNAs cope with the degeneracy of the genetic code in two manners: having more than one tRNA (with a specific anti-codon) for a particular amino acid; and 'wobble' base-pairing, i.e. permitting non-standard base-pairing at the 3rd anti-codon position. The record is from RNAcentral.
GUGGCUAUGGUAUAAUGGUUAUUACUCUGGCUUGUGGAGCCGGCAAUACGGGUUCAAUCCCCGUUAGCCACCCCA